Molecule: ribosomal RNA, 468 nt
Filed under: uncultured bacterium
Lineage: Bacteria
Description: partial 16S ribosomal RNA
Rfam family: Bacterial small subunit ribosomal RNA
Source: RNAcentral
GACGAACGCUGGCGGCGUGCUUAACACAUGCAAGUCGAACGGAAAGGCCCUGCUUUUGUGGGGUGCUCGAGUGGCGAACGGGUGAGUAACACGUGAGUAACCUGCCCUUGACUUUGGGAUAACUUCAGGAAACUGGGGCUAAUACCGGAUAGGAGCUCCUGCUGCAUGGUGGGGGUUGGAAAGUUUCGGCGGUUGGGGAUGGACUCGCGGCUUAUCAGCUUGUUGGUGGGGUAGUGGCUUACCAAGGCUUUGACGGGUAGCCGGCCUGAGAGGGUGACCGGCCACAAUGGGACUGAGAUACGGCCCAGAAUCCUACGGGAGGCAGCAGUGGGGAAUAUUGCACAAUGGGCGGAAGCCUGAUGCAGCAACGCCGCGUGCGGGAUGACGGCCUUCGGGUUGUAAACCGAUUUCGCCUGUGACGAAGCGUGAGUGACGGUAAUGGGUAAAGAAGCACCGGCUAACUACGUG